ACAAAUGAAGCCAAAGAGACACACUCUUUCUAUUUNGGCGCCUGCCUGCUAAGCAGGUGUGAUCUCACGCGUAGGUUCGAACCCUACCGUUUGCG
RNAcentral lists this transfer RNA (95 nucleotides) under Trypanosoma theileri. It matches the Rfam family "tRNA". Rfam says of the family: Transfer RNA (tRNA) molecules are approximately 80 nucleotides in length. Lineage: Eukaryota; Euglenozoa; Kinetoplastea; Trypanosomatida; Trypanosomatidae. The record is from Rfam by way of RNAcentral.